RNAcentral lists this ribosomal RNA (496 nucleotides) under uncultured bacterium. RNAcentral's name for it is "partial 16S ribosomal RNA". It matches the Rfam family "Bacterial small subunit ribosomal RNA", at positions 29 to 507 of the family's 1533-position model. The record is from RNAcentral.
AUGAACGCUGGCGGCGUGCCUAAUACAUGCAAGUCGAGCGAACGGACGAGAAGCUUGCUUUUCUGAUGUUAGCGGCGGACGGGUGAGUAACACGUGGAUAACCUACCUAUAAGACUGGGAUAACUUCGGGAAACCGGAGCUAAUACCGGAUAAUAUUUUGAACCGCAUGGUUCAAAAGUGAAAGACGGUCUUGCUGUCACUUAUAGAUGGAUCCGCGCUGCAUUAGCUAGUUGGUAAGGUAACGGCUUACCAAGGCAACGAUGCAUAGCCGACCUGAGAGGGUGAUCGGCCACACUGGAACUGAAACACGGUCCAGACUCCUACGGGAGGCAGCAGUAGGGAAUCUUCCGCAAUGGGCGAAAGCCUGACGGAGCAACGCCGCGUGAGUGAUGAAGGUCUUCGGAUCGUAAAACUCUGUUAUUAGGGAAGAACAUAUGUGUAAGUAACUGUGCACAUCUUGACGGUACCUAAUCAGAAAGCCACGGCUAACUACGUG